RNA transcript from Macadamia integrifolia, 2065 nucleotides. It is a transcript of the gene named trihelix transcription factor GT-3b-like, with no coding region annotated. NCBI's taxonomy places the organism in Eukaryota, Viridiplantae, Streptophyta, Magnoliopsida, Proteales, Proteaceae. The transcript has 3 exons. The record is from RefSeq and is a predicted model, not a curated record.
AGAGAGGGGGGGGUUGAAGUGUCUAUGGCGUAAGCGUGACGCCAUGGAAACGCCAAUGGGAACAGAUGGAAGAAAUAAAAAAGGGUAGAGAGAGAGAGAGAGAGAGAGAGAGAGGGAAGAAGAAUUGAAGAAAGGUAUUCCUUUCCGCGUAGACAGAUAGAUAGAUGAGCCUGAGAGAGAAAGAAAGAAAGAUCAGAAUUCAGAAACUGUUUGGGAUUAUUAAAAAGAGAAAAAAGAAAAGAAGGGUUCUCAACUUCAAUCAAUACUCUCUCUCUCUCUCUCUCUCUCUCUCUCUUUUAUCGGGAAUUCUGAAGAGAAUCUGUAACAACGACGACAAACGCUCCCUUUGACACCCGGCCAAUCUAACAGGAGUAGAGAAAAAAAGAAAAAAAGAAAAAAAGAAAAAAAGAAAAAAAGAAAAAAAGAAAGAAAGAAAGGUUAAGGACUCUCUCUUCUUCUUCUUCUUCUUCUUGUCCUUCUUCUUCCCUUGUUUUCACUCUCCGUUCACACCUUAUUCUUCCCUUUAUCCUUCAUCUCUUUCUCUCUCUUUCACCACCUUCUCUAUCUAUCUAUCUACCUAUCUAUCUCGAUGAGCUAUGGAAGGGGGUCAUCCUCAUCCUCAUCCUCAUCAUCAUCAUCAUCAUCAUCAUCAUCACCUAAGUGUUAACAUGGUGGACACAGGUGACCGGUUCCCUCAAUGGAGUCUCCAAGAAACAAAGGAGUUCUUAUCAAUCAGAGCAGAUCUGGAUCGUACUUUCAUGGAGACCAAACGCAACAAGCUUCUCUGGGAAGUUAUCUCUUCCAAGAUGAAGGAAAGGGGUUACACUCGUAGUCCCGAGCAGUGCAAGUGCAAGUGGAAGAACCUAGUAACUCGUUACAAAGGAUGCGAAACCAUGGAGACUGAAUCGAUGAGACAACAAUUCCCAUUCUACAAUGAGCUUCAGGCAAUCUUUACAGCCAGGAUGCAGAGGAUGUUAUGGUUGGAAGCAGAAGGUGGGGGUGGUGGUGGGAGUGCUGCCGCCGCUGCCGGCGGCCGUUCUAAGAAGAAAGGGGUCAGAUUAUCUUCUGAUGACGAAGAGGAUAAUGAAGAAAGUGAUGAGGAUAAUAAGGUUAGUAGUAAGAAGAAGAGGAAGGGGAAGACCACUAGUACUACUACUAGUGGUGGUGGGAGUAGUAAUAGUAACAAUUUGCAGGAGAUAUUAGAGGAGUUCAUGAGGCAACAAAUACAAAUGGAAGUGCAAUGGAGAGAAGCAGUAGAAGCUAGGGAGGAGGAAGGAAGGGUGAAAGAGAUGGAGUGGAGACAAACCAUGGAAGCUUUGGAGAAUGAAAGGUUGAUGAUGGAUAGAAGGUGGAGGGAAAGAGAGGAACAAAGGCAGAUGAGGGAAGAGUCCAGGGCAGAGAAAAGAGAUGUUCUUAUCACAACUCUACUAAAUAAGCUAAGGCGUGAAGAUAAAGACUUGUAGAUUUGUUUAGUUUGGCUUUUUUGGGAAGAGGAAUUGCAGCUACAAGAGACACUCUUGAGAGGUACCCUUUUGCAGCUCUCACCCAAAAAAAGAAAGGUACCCUUUUGCAGCUUUAGUAGUAGAUUUACUACAUUCAAGGCGUUGUGGUUGAAUGAUCACUCUUCAUAGUGGGAUUAUGGAAAUAAAUGGAGUUCCAUUGGCAUUUAGGGGGUUGGGGAUUCUGAAUCCCCUGAUAUGAAGGUGCAACUAAAACUAAUGGAUCAUAGCCAAAAAAAAAAAAAAAGGAGAAAGUUUCAAUAACAGCUGUGAGAGGAAUAAAGAUGGAAGGAAUUCUGAUUGCCCUAUCCAAGGAGGGAAAACUAGUCUCCACAGUACUCCUUCAGCAUUGCACCUUUCUCGAGAUUAGUCGUGUCAGUUCAUUUAUUUUCUCCUUGGUAAUAAGGAGGUUGGGAUGUUUGUUUGUUGAUAGUCUUCAGGGCCUCUUCCACCCUUGGGGGAAUGCCCAUAGGGAGUUUGGAGGGCUGACAUUUCUUGUAUGUAUAUGUGUUUGGACAAAGUUUUUCCUUCACCCAUGGCUGAAUGAUGGGAUGAUUCAGAUGUGA